CCUACGGGAGGCAGCAGUAAGGAAUAUUGGUCAAUGGACGCAAGUCUGAACCAGCCAUGCCGCGUGAAGGAUGAAGGUCCUCUGGAUUGUAAACUUCUUUUAUAGGGGACGAAAAAAGGGAAUUCUUUCUCACUUGACGGUACCCUAGGAAUAAGCACCGGCUAACUCCGUGCCAGCAGCCGCGGUAAUACGGAGGGUGCAAGCGUUAUCCGGAUUCACUGGGUUUAAAGGGUGCGUAGGUGGGCAUUUAAGUCAGUGGUGAAAUCUCCGGGCUUAACCCGGAAACUGCCAUUGAUACUAUUUGUCUUGAAUAUUGUGGAGGUAAGCGGAAUAUGUCAUGUAGCGGUGAAAUGCUUAGAUAUGACAUAGAACACCCAUUGCGAAGGCAGCUUACUACGCAAAUAUUGACACUGAGGCACGAAAGCGUGGGGAUCAAACAGGAUUAGAUACCCUGGUAGUCCACGCCCUAAACGAUGGAUACUCGACAUCAGCGAUACACAGUUGGUGUCUGAGCGAAAGCAUUAAGUAUCCCACCUGGGAAGUACGACCGCAAGGUUGAAACUUAAAUGAAAUUGACGG
RNAcentral lists this ribosomal RNA (579 nucleotides) under uncultured bacterium. RNAcentral describes it as "bacterial SSU rRNA". It matches the Rfam family "Bacterial small subunit ribosomal RNA", at positions 338 to 916 of the family's 1533-position model. The record is from RNAcentral.